AACGAACGCUGGCGGCAUGCCUAACACAUGCAAGUCGAACGAGACCUUCGGGUCUAGUGGCGCACGGGUGCGUAACGCGUGGGAACCUGCCCUUAGGUUCGGAAUAACUCCCCGAAAGGGGUGCUAAUACCGGAUAAUGUCUUCGGACCAAAGAUUUAUCGCCUUUGGAUGGGCCCGCGUUGGAUUAGCUAGUUGGUAGGGUAAAAGCCUACCAAGGCGACGAUCCAUAGCUGGUCUGAGAGGAUGAUCAGCCACACUGGGACUGAGACACGGCCCAGACUCCUACGGGAGGCAGCAGUGGGGAAUAUUGGACAAUGGGCGAAAGCCUGAGCCAGCAAUGCCGCGUGAGUGAUGAAGGCCUUAGGGUUGUAAAGCUCUUUUACCAGGGAUGAUAAUGACAGUACCGGGAGAAUAAGCGCCGACUAACUCCGUG
This 433-nucleotide ribosomal RNA is filed under the name uncultured bacterium. RNAcentral's name for it is "partial 16S ribosomal RNA". It matches the Rfam family "Bacterial small subunit ribosomal RNA", at positions 29 to 507 of the family's 1533-position model. The record is from RNAcentral.